This 479-nucleotide ribosomal RNA is filed under the name uncultured bacterium. RNAcentral describes it as "partial 16S ribosomal RNA". It matches the Rfam family "Bacterial small subunit ribosomal RNA", at positions 28 to 507 of the family's 1533-position model. The record is from RNAcentral.
GAUGAACGCUAGCGGGAGGCCUAACACAUGCAAGCCGAGCGGUAUUGUUUCUUCGGAAAUGAGAGAGCGGCGUACGGGUGCGUAACACGUGUGCAACCUGCCUUUAUCUGGGGGAUAGCCUUUCGAAAGGAAGAUUAAUACUCCAUAAUAUAUUGAACGGCAUCGUUUAAUAUUGAAAGCUCCGGCGGAUAGAGAUGGGCACGCGCAAGAUUAGCUAGUUGGUGAGGUAACGGCUCACCAAGGCGAUGAUCUUUAGGGGGCCUGAGAGGGUGAUCCCCCACACUGGUACUGAGACACGGACCAGACUCCUACGGGAGGCAGCAGUGAGGAAUAUUGGCCAAUGGGUGCAAGCCUGAACCAGCCAUCCCGCGUGAAGGACGACUGCCCUAUGGGUUGUAAACUUCUUUUGUAUAGGGAUAAACCUACCCUCGAGAGGGUAGCUGAAGGUACUAUACGAAUAAGCACCGGCUAACUCCGUG